GAUGAACGCUGGCGGCGUGCCUAAUACAUGCAAGUCGAGCGAACGGACGAGAAGCUUGCUUCUCUGAUGUUAGCGGCGGACGGGUGAGUAACACGUGGAUAACCUACCUAUAAGACUGGGAUAACUGCGGGAAACCGGAGCUAAUACCGGAUAAUAUUUUGAACCGCAUGGUUCAAAAGUGAAAGACGGUCUUGCUGUCACUUAUAGAUGGAUCCGCGCUGCAUUAGCUAGUUGGUAAGGUAACGGCUUACCAAGGCAACGAUGCAUAGCCGACCUGAGAGGGUGGUCGGCCACACUGGAACUGCGACACGGUCCAGACUCCUACGGGAGGCAGCAGUAGGGAAUCUUCCGCAAUGGGCGAAAGCCUGACGGAGCAACGCCGCGUGAGUGAUGAAGGUCUUCGGAUCGUAAAACUCUGUUAUUAGGGAAGAACAUAUGUGUAAGUAACUGUGCACAUCUUGACGGUACCUAAUCAGAAAGCCACGGCUAACUACGUG
Molecule: ribosomal RNA, 497 nt
Filed under: uncultured bacterium
Lineage: Bacteria
Description: partial 16S ribosomal RNA
Rfam family: Bacterial small subunit ribosomal RNA
Source: RNAcentral